GAUGAACGCUGGCGGCGUGCCUAAUACAUGCAAGUCGAGCGAACGGACGAGAAGCUUGCUUCUCUGAUGUUAGCGGCGGACGGGUGAGUAACACGUGGAUAACCUACCUAUAAGACUGGGAUAACUUCGGGAAACCGGAGCUAAUACCGGAUAAUAUUUUGAACCGCAUGGUUCAAAAGUGAAAGACGGUCUUGCUGUCACUUAUAGAUGGAUCCGCGCUGCAUUAGCUAGUUGGUAAGGUAACGGCUUACCAAGGCAACGAUGCAUAGCCGACCUGAGAGGAUGAUCGGCCACACUGGAACUGAGACACGGUCCAGACUCCUACGGGAGGCAGCAGUAGGGAAUCUUCCGCAAUGGGCGAAAGCCUGACGGAGCAACGCCGCGUGAGUGAUGAAGGUCUUCGGAUCGUAAAACUCUGUUAUUAGGGAAGAACAUAUGUGUAAGUAACUGUGCACAUCUUGACGGUACCUAAUCAGAAAGCCACGGCUAACUAUGUG
This 497-nucleotide ribosomal RNA is filed under the name uncultured bacterium. RNAcentral describes it as "partial 16S ribosomal RNA". It matches the Rfam family "Bacterial small subunit ribosomal RNA", at positions 28 to 507 of the family's 1533-position model. The record is from RNAcentral.